This 210-nucleotide long non-coding RNA is filed under the name Phoenix dactylifera (date palm). RNAcentral describes it as "long non-coding RNA (PDAC_LNC016260)". Lineage: Eukaryota; Viridiplantae; Streptophyta; Magnoliopsida; Arecales; Arecaceae. The record is from RNAcentral.
AUCCAAGGGGUUAUAGUGAAUUCCCAAGUGAGACUUGGGGAGUGGACGUAGGAGCAAGGGUUAGCUCCGAACCACUAUAAACAUUGUGUUUGUGAUUGCUUGUGUCUCUCUCUCUCACUCUCAUUUCACUCACAGCACAUAGCAACUAAUUAAUCAUCUUGCAAAAGUAUUAAUUAGUCAUCCUCAAACGUUUUAAUUGCAAAAUUAUUU